UAAUACGGAGUGUGCGAGCGUUACUCGGAAUCACUGGGCAUAAAGAGCACGUAGGCUGGGUUGCAUGUCCGUGGUGAAAUCCCCCAGCUCAACUGGGGAACUGCUUCGGAAACUGCUUCUCUUGAGGACGAGAGGGGAGAGUGGAACUUCUGGUGGAGCGGUGAAAUGCGUAGAUAUCAGAAGGAACACCGGUGGCGAAAGCGACUCUCUGGCUCGUUUCUGACGCUGAGGUGCGAAAGCUUGGGUAGCAAACAGGAUUAGAUACCCUGGUAGUCCAAGCCGUAAACGAUGGACACUUGGCAGGGGGGAUUCCUAUGUCCUCCCUGCUGGAGCUAAUGCGUUAAGUGUCCCGCCUGGGGAGUACAGUCGCAAGGCCG
RNAcentral lists this ribosomal RNA (377 nucleotides) under uncultured bacterium. RNAcentral's name for it is "bacterial SSU rRNA". It matches the Rfam family "Bacterial small subunit ribosomal RNA", at positions 521 to 896 of the family's 1533-position model. The record is from RNAcentral.